GACGAACGCUGGCGGCGUGCUUAACACAUGCAAGUCGAACGGUGAAGCGCCUUCCUUUUUGGUGGGUGUGGAUGAGUGGCGAACGGGUGAGUAACACGUGAGGAACCUGCCCCCUUCUUCUGGAUAACCUCAUGAAAGUGUGGCUAAUACGGGAUAUUCUGGGUCUGUCGCAUGAUGGGUCUGGGAAAGAUAUUGUUUCGGUGGGGGAUGGGCUCGCGGCCUAUCAGCUUGUUGGUGGGGUGCUGGACUACCAAGGCGGUGAGGAGUAGCCGGGCUGAGAGGGUGGACCGUAAUAGUGCGAAUACACGGCGGAGACGCCUACGACAGGCGGCAGCAGGGGGGAAUAUUGAACGAGGGGAGCAAGGCUGCUGCAACGACGCCGCGUGAGGGAUGGCGUCCGUCGGGUUGUGAACCUCUUUCGCCAGAGAAGCACGGCAGCCUCGUAUCUCGGUGGGUUGACGGUAGCUAAAUAAGAAGCGCCGGCUAACUACGUG
Molecule: ribosomal RNA, 494 nt
Filed under: uncultured bacterium
Lineage: Bacteria
Description: partial 16S ribosomal RNA
Rfam family: Bacterial small subunit ribosomal RNA
Source: RNAcentral